UUGACUAUCCUCCACCAAGGCGCCUGCUGGGAGGAAAUCGAAACGAGUGGUAAGUGAAAGUGGAGCCUUGAAUAAACUCGUUUGCUCUUCUGCCCACUUCCCCCCUCGCCAAACAAUGAAACACGUUGUGGUUUUCAAUCACACCAAGCCAGCGAAGGCAGAAACCCCUCUCCCCACAGCAGUUGUUAGCAGGCUUCAGGCGGCCAGACUGACAGCGCCUGCAAGGGACGGGACGUGAAGGCAAAGGGGAGCCACCAGCGGGACCCUCCUGCCCCCCGCGCCUCAGACAUGGGCCCCCGGGGCCAAGGCACAAAAGGAGAUCAGAUUAGCUACAGAGAAAGAGUAAUAAGAAAGCAUUUUUCAAAUACAUAAGAAGCAUGAGGAAAAUCAAGGACAAGAUCAGGGGAGCUGGCUCCAUGUUCCUGGAAGUGAAGUGCUUCAGUUACAACUCCUGCUGAGGGGAGAGUUUGCUGCUUACUGAUCAGAGUCCUUAAAUAGAAAAGGUUCAAAGGAACACAAUGCAAUACAAUAAAGGUUUGAAGUAACAUCA
Molecule: non-coding RNA, 550 nt
Organism: Pelodiscus sinensis (Chinese soft-shelled turtle)
Lineage: Eukaryota; Metazoa; Chordata; Testudines; Trionychidae
Source: RefSeq, a predicted model, not a curated record